CCCUCUUGUAAUGGGCAAAGAGAUACCUUGGGGGAUGGGGUUGUUCUUAUAUCAGCCAGGGGCAGAGCAAAUGACAGUCCUUUGUUUAUCCUAGCUUGAUACCUGGCUUGGUGGCCAAAGCUGUUUUAUGCCUAGGAUAAAAAA
Small nucleolar RNA from Rattus norvegicus (Norway rat), 144 nucleotides. Ensembl annotates it as small nucleolar RNA SNORA48. The record is from Ensembl. NCBI's taxonomy places the organism in Eukaryota, Metazoa, Chordata, Mammalia, Rodentia, Muridae.